This 404-nucleotide ribosomal RNA is filed under the name uncultured bacterium. RNAcentral's name for it is "partial 16S ribosomal RNA". It matches the Rfam family "Bacterial small subunit ribosomal RNA", at positions 30 to 526 of the family's 1533-position model. The record is from RNAcentral.
AUUGAACGCUGGCGGCAGGCCUAACACAUGCAAGUCGAGCGAGCGGCGGACGGGUGAGUAAUGCCUGGGAAUUGCCCAGUCGAGGGGGAUAACAGUUGGAAACGACUGCUAAUACCGCAUACGAUUGGAUUGCCCAGGUGGGCUUAGCUAGUUGGUGAGGUGAUGGCUCACCAAGGCGACGAUCCCUAGCUGGUCUGAUAGGAUGGGAAGCCACACUGGAAUGGAGACACGGUCCGGACCCCUACGGGAGGCGAGGGUGGGGAAUGUUGCACUAGUGGGGGAGCCCUAAUGCAGACAAGCCGCGUAGGUGAAAGAGGCCUUGGGGUUGUGGUGCUCUUCCGGCUAGAUGGCGUUACUGGCAGAAUAAGCACCGGCUAACUCCGUGCCAGCAGCCGCGGUAAUAC